Setaria italica (foxtail millet) is the source of this 1584-nucleotide long non-coding RNA. RefSeq lists it as uncharacterized. The record is from RefSeq and is a predicted model, not a curated record. The transcript is spliced from 4 exons. Lineage: Eukaryota; Viridiplantae; Streptophyta; Magnoliopsida; Poales; Poaceae.
GCACUGAUGUUGUGUGCCAAGCAUGUUGCGGAUCCUAAGCUGCUAGGUAGCUGCGUUGGAUUUAGCCUCCAGGUGGUUGCGUGGUUUGGAUCCCUGCGGUACUGGUUUUACUUGUAGAAAAUUUUGGUGGCUCCGAGCUUGUGGUCUUCCGCGCUUCAUGAUCUGGUGCCUGGCACUUUGGAUUUCUAGUUCUUAUUCAGUACUGAAUCAACCUGCUCUUUGGUCCAGAAUGUAAAAAAAUAAUAUAAGUGUAGUACUGAAUCAACCUGCUCUUUGGUCCAGAAUGUAAAAAAAUAAUAAUAAGUUUAGUACUGAAUCAACCUACUUUUUGUUCCACAAAGUAAAAAUAAUAAUAAGACUUAUGCUUAUGAUUUCUUAGGUAUACCUGCUGGUGCUUUGCACUUGGGCACAUUGGAUUGCCGGUCCCAAUCUCGCAGAUAAGUGUUCCAAACUCAAUCCCCCCACUCAUCUGCUUUUACUGCACUAUAAAAUUGUUGCUGCCCUGUUCUUGGGGUUUUCAGUUAGGGGUGGUUUACUGAAAAUAGUGAUUGCAUAUAAAAUUAAGUGUACUUUGCCAUGCAUCUUUGUGUUGAAAAUAUGAUCGGAGUUCUCAGUACUGGUUGCUAUGACUCGUGACUAGGAUUACAAACCUGCCUGUGCUUUACUCUUGCAUGUACUACCCUUCUAGUUAAUAUUUCUGUACUAUGUGCUGCCUGGAUAGUAUAUUUUCUGGGCAAAAUCUUUCUUGUGUAUGUCUCUGCGCAAAAACUUACUAUUACUUGCCAAACAAUGUGUACUGUAUAAAUUUUCUAAUUAAAUGAUGGUCACUUGAUCAGGUAAGGACCAUGCAUAUGAUGCUAAUAAAAUUGUUAAACCUGAAAAUCCAGUGUUGAAUUGUACAAGGUCUUGGUGUUUGAACAGGCAUGAUGCUCAAUCUAUUUCCUAUUGGUUUUAUUUCUGCUUUUAUGGAUAACUACUUAAUUGUGUAUGAUUGCUGGAUGGCAAGGAUGUACUAAUAUAGUUGAGUACAUUCCAUUUGCGUAGCUUUCUUCUACUGGCAACAAUGGUAGUGAAGUACAACUUACCAUUACUUGAACUUCUAAACCAGCUUUAUGGUCUUUUGCCCUUGCAGGCAUGUUUGUUAUCCUGAAGAAAAAUUAACUUGAUGUGCAGUAUUGAUCUGGAAAAGCUCAUGGAAAAGAAAAUGGUCUUUCUUUGUCUGCUGAUCAGGAACUAUUAUGUCAUCUCCAUGUCUCCACUAACUUGUUCUUGUAUAUGCAUACCCAGCUUACGACUGCUGCAACAUGGUAGAGCUAAACAGGCCUGUAUUAGACUGUGGCAUAAUUACAUGAGGUAAGCAGCACAAGAGCAGCACCUUGGUCACCAGGUAGUGGCCACUUUCAGCAGCCUUGGACAUCUAGGGCAGUUAGUAGUUUGGACGAUUAUAUACCUUGAUGUACUUUCAUUUUCAGUUGCCAUCUUCAACUUGAUAUAUUUAUUGGGUGGAACCACUGUAAUUUUUGGAUGAUACCAUGUGUGCAUCUUCUACAAUUGUAAUGAUGAAAUUGCUGCAGCAAUGUUUAA